CAGAAAAAUAUCAUUCCAUUUUUUGUAUUCCAAAAUUUUCCAUAAAAUUUGUUCCCCUUUCCCUUCUCUCAGCAUACAGGACUGCAAUCAAUCAAUAACUUUCCUCACCCUUCAAACCCUAACCCUAAUUCUCAUAUUAUACACAGAGCCAUCAGAAUCAUCGUUUCUUCAAUAUCCCUUCCGUAAACUUGCAAUCUCAGCUAUGAAACUCGUCUCUGAUCUCUCGUGACGCAUAUGACGAUCGAGGUUAUUGGCGCCGUGAAAACCGAUUGCAUGGGUUUGGAGAAUGCCGGAGCUUCGUAGUGGACCGCGGCGUGGUCGUGCUCAGGUAGGCCGUAAAAUCGCUGAACCACCGUCUCCGGCGGCCAACUACGUGAAGACUCGAGCUGCGGUCGCCAGGGCGGCUGCGGCAGUGGCGACGGUGGCCGAGGAGAGGCCCAGGACUCGCUUGGCGGCGAAGAAAUUGGAGCAGGAGGAGAAGCCAGUGAUUGUGAUAUCGGAGGAGGAGGCCGAGAGCGACGUAGAGCGCGCGAAGAAUAAGAAGAGCGAAGAGCGGAUUGAAGUCGGCGUAAUGGGUGACGAGAGUGGCGGGUUGAGUGCCAACAAGGGCGUUGCCUGCACUGGUCGAUAACUUGUUGCUUGUUUUUGUUUGAUAUGUUUUCAUUCGGCAGGUUCAAGUGGGAGGAUCACCUGUCUACAAGGUGGAUAGGAAGCUGGGAAAAGGUGGCUUUGGUCAAGUCUUUGUUGGCCGUCGAGUUACCGGGGGUAAUGAUCGUAGUAGUGGCCCUGGGGCUACUGAGGUGGCUCUAAAAUUUGAACAUAGGAAUAGUAAAGGCUGUAAUUAUGGCCCUCCUUAUGAGUGGCAAGUUUACAACACCCUUGGUGGCAGUCAUGGAAUACCAAAGGUACACUAUAAAGGAAGACAAGGAGAAUAUUAUGUAAUGGUUAUGGACAUGCUUGGUCCAAGCUUGUGGGAUGUGUGGAACUCUUCAAGCCAGGCGAUGCCUGCAGAAAUGGUUGCAUGUAUAGCUGUUGAGUCCUUGUCAAUCCUGGAGAAAAUGCAUUCAAGGGGAUAUGUGCAUGGAGAUGUAAAGCCAGAGAACUUUUUACUAGGCCAGCCAGGGACACCACAAGAGAAGAAAUUGUACCUGGUUGACCUUGGAUUAGCAACAAAGUGGAGAGACACCUCCAGUGGGCAGCAUGUUGAAUAUGAUCAACGUCCAGAUAUGUUUAGAGGGACUGUUCGAUAUGCAAGUGUUCAUGCUCACUUGGGAAGAACUGCUAGUAGAAGGGACGAUCUUGAAUCUCUGGCAUAUACACUCAUCUUCCUUCAUAAAGGGCGGUUACCAUGGCAAGGUUAUCAGGGUGAUAACAAGUCCUUCCUUGUUUGCAAAAAGAAGAUGGGAACAUCUCCAGAGAUGCUCUGUUGCUUCUGCCCUCCUCCUUUUAGGCAAUUUCUUGAGAUUGUAGUGAACAUGAAAUUUGAUGAAGAACCAAACUAUUCCAAGCUAAUCUCUCUUUUUGAUGGUAUGCUUGGUCCAAAUCCUGCAUUACGGCCGAUUAACACUGAAGGUGCUCAAAAGGUUGGGCAAAAGCGGGGUAGAUUGAAUAUUGAGGACGAGGAUGAUUCACAACCCAAAAAGAAGGUUCGUUUGGGGGUUCCUGCUACACAAUGGAUUUCAGUUUACAAUGCCAGACUACCAAUGAAACAAAGGUAUCACUAUAAUGUAGCUGAUGCAAGACUAGCACAGCAUGUUGAGAGGGGGAUUGCAGAUGGCCUUCUUAUUAGUUGUGUUGCAUCUUGUUCCAAUCUCUGGGCACUUAUUAUGGAUGCUGGAACUGGUUUUACAACUCAAGUUUACAAGUUGUCACCAUUUUUCUUACACAAGGAAUGGAUUAUGGAGCAGUGGGAAAAGAACUAUUAUAUUACUUCAAUAGCUGGCGCUAAUAAUGGAAGCUCUCUUGUGGUGAUGUCAAAAGGCACGCAGUACACACAACAAUCAUACAAAGUAAGUGAUUCUUUCCCCUUCAAAUGGAUAAACAAGAAGUGGAGAGAAGGUUUUCAUGUCACCUCGAUGGCCACUGCCGGAAGUCGCUGGGGUGUUGUUAUGUCUAGAAAUGCUGGAUUCAGUGACCAGGUUGUUGAGCUUGAUUUUCUCUAUCCUAGUGAGGGAAUCCACAGACGAUGGGAUAAUGGUUACAGGAUUACAGCAACUGCUGCUACAUGGGAUCAAUCUGCUCUUAUAUUAAGUAUUCCAAGGCGCAGGCCAGGUGAUGAAACUCAGGAAACACUACGCACAUCUCAAUUUCCCAGCACACACGUUAAGGAAAAAUGGUCAAAAAACCUUUAUCUUGCUUGUUUGUGCUAUGGGCGCACUGUAUGCUGAUAUCCUCAACAGAUCAAAGCAUUGAUUGAUUUGGAAUAGAAUCAUAUUUUCUGCUUGUUUAGUUGUGCAAGCAGGAAACUGUAUCUUCGGCUGUUAUAUAGUGUUGUUGUUCUCUCCCAUUCUAUUGUAAGUUCUUUGCGUGGGGGAUGUGUUUAAUGUUAAUCUAUACAGCUUAGCUUUAUGCUCCUCCAAUAUGUAUAUGUAGGUGUUACCAAAAUUUUUGUAUGAUUUUCAAGAAAAGAUUGACCCAAUGAUAGAGACGGCUAAUAAGAAAAUACAAUUGCUUGUACGGAUAACGUUCUUUGUGAAUGAAGAGUUCAAGCCAAUCAUAAGUUAA
Molecule: RNA transcript, 2724 nt
Organism: Arachis duranensis
Lineage: Eukaryota; Viridiplantae; Streptophyta; Magnoliopsida; Fabales; Fabaceae
Gene name: casein kinase 1-like protein HD16
Exons: 15
Source: RefSeq, a predicted model, not a curated record